RNAcentral lists this ribosomal RNA (1412 nucleotides) under Triticum aestivum (bread wheat). Its description in RNAcentral is "partial small subunit ribosomal RNA". Lineage: Eukaryota; Viridiplantae; Streptophyta; Magnoliopsida; Poales; Poaceae. The record is from RNAcentral.
AGCUGACCAUGGACGUCUUCCUUCCUCUUCCGCCUUUGGUUACCGAGUCAGUCUAGCAUUUUAAUUACUCCCAAAACCGUGUGUAACAGAGGAGUCAGUCUAGGACCGCUGCAUCCUUAUCGGCGUGUUUCUUCUCCCUCUGUCUCGAUCUCUUCGCCUCCGUUUCCUCGUGGCGCACCACACCUUUGUCGUCCACCGUCUCCCCAUCCCCCGGUCCCUCCUGUGGUGUGCCUUGCUGCGGGCUCAGAUCUUGGAGACGACAAACAACCCACCGACGCGAUGCGUCGUGCCCAAAGAAAUCGUCGGCAGUGCCAACUUAUAGCCAUCGCCUGUGUGGAAGAGGAUUUGCUAAUAAAGUUUCACCAAUGGAAAAUCAAUUUGCGGGAGCGCUCCUUUAUCCGUGUUGGACAUGGUGAAUUAGGAGGAGGCUUUGAUGUCUUCAGGUCGAUCAAAGCUGUGGUGCCAUCUCCGACCGUCUAGCGCCUCCACCAUAUACAUCGUCGUAGCGUCUAAUCGAUGCAUCAGGGGAAACCCCCCGACUUUAUUCCUUCUCCAGGGCCUAAGAAGACCUCGCAGAUGAGCAGUUUUCUUUCAAGAAUCAAGAUUACCAAGCACAAUGCAAGUCAAUAUACAAAUAAUUAUGUUUCAACUCAUGUAUGCCUCAAGUGUUGGUUACAUGUUGUCAUGAAAAUAGUAGCUACAUGGAUCAUCAGAUUAAGGAUGGUCCCAUCUUCCUACCUCUUUGUUUCAGUUCAACCUUCUGACCACAGGCAUUCCUACCCCACAGUAGUAGGCACUCGUGAUAUCUUCUUGCUGCAUUCCCUAUUCUACUGCAGAGAUUGACGCUAUACUUUGUAUACAAUUCAUUAUAGGCAUUCUUUUAUAUUUUAUCCAAAUCAAUAUAAUCUCACACAACACUGACGUCCGACGACCUCUCUGCUCCUGAAUCGGAAUCAAACACGUACACGUUGCAUUCCGGGCAUUCUUUUAUAUUAUCCCCAUACCAAUAUGAGCUCACACAACAUUGAUGGCUGACAGCCUUCUCUGCCCUUGGAUUAGGAUCCCACAUAUGACUGAUGGGUGAAGAUUUUCUUUUUGCUAAUCUUGAAUCGAGCUAAUUUUUAUCAUUGCAGAAUUUCAGUCACUUAUAGGAAGACACUUCAACUUAUCCACCAGAGUUAAUCAGAAGUACUUGCGUUGCACAAUACAACAAAUCAUUUCGUGUCAUUCCAGAAUAAAUUGUAUGUAAUACAUAUUUUGCUCGCCCCUUUUAUCGUGUGUAAUUCUGCACAUGUUUGUAUCUCGAGCACAUGAUUUUUGUUAUACAAAUAUGUCACUGCAUUUUGGGAUGCGUAUUUGCAAACUUAUAUUUUGUUUGCGAACUUACAAGCUUUUCAUAUGGAAGCGCAUGG